AUGAGCAAUGUGCCCAGAUUCCACGCCAGGGCGCUUGUAAAACUUGCAGGAAAAUGGAAGGAAAAGGCUCUGCUGUGUCAGACACCCGUGGUUUUUGGUGUAGUGACUGUACAAAAGAAGGAAGUUGUUUUCUGCAACUCAAGUUGUUCUUUACAACGAAUCCUUAGAAGUGGAACUCCCAGAAGACUCCGCGCUUUGAUAGUUUUCUUUCCGGAAACUUGCAUCGACUCACAGGGAAGAGUCACAGGGUGGUGUGUUCUUCCCCGUGUCCUGGUCUUCCUGCGCAGGCGGCGACGUGCCAGGUGCCGUGGACUGCUCCUCAGCAGGUGCUCAACUGCUCCCGCGGCUGCAGCCUCUUCUCCCCGCGCCCUCACAGCCGUCACUGUCACUGCUGCCCGGAGAAUCCUCUUUGCUUGAGACUCGUCCUCUCCUUCUGCCUUCCCCGCUGUGGUCACGGGUCCUGCCGGCCACCUUCUCUUCCAAACUCGGAACUUCCGGGCGCUCCAUGACAGCCACCUGUCCCUCACCGCCUUCCGUUAUUCUAUCAUCAAAAUCUCGUUUGACUUCGCUCUGGCUGCUGCCUUUCCCCUAGUUUGUCCCAGCCCUGGGGUUCCUAGUGUGGUUGUUCUACCAACGAUCUUUCUGCCUUUUAACACUUCCUUCUUAGAAUCUCCAGAAUAUGUUUGAAAGGCAGCUAGGACUCUGGCGCUCUGCUGGUUUGGCAUUCGGUGCUGAGGGGGCCGUGCGCAGGGUGCUGAGGCUGCUGGGUGGUGUGGAAGCCCCCGCUUCCCAUCGCCAGCUGUCCGGAGCCUGCCCCUCGUGUGUACUCAUGCAGCCCAGGCCGGAAACCACAGACCAGGUCCUGCCCGUGCCCUGCAUCGGGCGCACUCUGUCCUGUUUAUUGGUCAACUCGUCCUUCUUGUGUGUGUGUGUGUGUUUUUAAAGAUUUAUUUAUUUACUUGAAAGAGUUACAGAGAGAGGGACACACACGCACACACACACACACUCUUCCAUCCACUGGUUCACUCCCUGAAUGCCCACAAUCGCCAGGCCUGGGCCUGGACAAAGCCAGGAACCCGGAUGUCCAUGCAGGUUCCCCCAGGGUGGCAGGGCCGUCCUUGGCCGCUUCCCCAGGCCAGCAGCAGGGACUUUAUCAGCAGCAGAGCAGCAGGGCCUCGCACCCGCGGAUGGCAGCGUCCCGGGCGGAGCCUCGGCCUGCUGCGCCGCCACACAGCCCUGCGCACUCGUCUGCAUGUUCAGUUCCAGCCCCACUUCCUCUCCACCACUGACUCAGUCUCAACUCCAGCUCGUUUCCCGUCUGCUGUCGGACCUGCUGUGCCGCUCUGUACGUAUUCGUGGAUGAGAUUAUCUCCUCUCUGGAGCUCUCUGUGGUCAGAGACUGCAGUUAGGUCACCUUUGCCUCCCUAAUGCCAGUGAGGGAAUAGCACCACCCAUCUCCCAGCAUGCAGUAGGUGCUGAGUGUCUGUUCUGGGUGUGUGAUGUUCUCUUGUGCUGUUUCCUGUCCCCACAGUGUUUUCUUUCUUUUUUUUUAAAGAUUUAUUUAUUUAUUUGAAAGUCAGAGUUACACAGAGAGAGAAGGAGAGGCAGAGAGAGAGAGAGAGAGGUCUUCCAUCCGAUGGUUCACUCCCCAGAUGGCCGCAAUAGCCGGAGCUGCACCAAUCCGAAGCCAGGAGCCAGGAGCCUCCUCCGGGUCUCCCAUAUGAGUUCCGGGGCCCAAUGACCUGGGCCAUCCUCUACUGCUUUCCCAGGCUAUGGCAGAGAGCUGGAUCUGAAGAGGAGCAGCCGGGACUAGAACCGGUGCCCCUAUGGGAUGUGGGCACUUCAGGCCAGAGCGUUAACCCACUGCGCCACAGCGCCGGCCCCCCACAGUGUUUUCUUUAUCUUGCUCAGCAUGUGUCCUACAUAUUGGGCAUUGAUUGACCAUUCAAAGGGUUUUUCAAAAGUUCAUAGAAAAUGCAUAUUAUGAAAAGCCAAUACAUGGAUUUUGCAAAAAGUUUGCACCAAAAUCAAUUUAGUUUUUAUUUUUCAAAAAUAAAAAUGUUUAACAGACACA
Molecule: long non-coding RNA, 2074 nt
Filed under: Oryctolagus cuniculus (rabbit)
Lineage: Eukaryota; Metazoa; Chordata; Mammalia; Lagomorpha; Leporidae
Description: lncRNA (ENSOCUG00000033900.1)
Source: RNAcentral